Odocoileus virginianus texanus is the source of this 6220-nucleotide RNA transcript. It is a transcript of the gene named solute carrier family 17 member 3, with no coding region annotated. The record is from RefSeq and is a predicted model, not a curated record. NCBI's taxonomy places the organism in Eukaryota, Metazoa, Chordata, Mammalia, Artiodactyla, Cervidae.
GCCUGGCAUGCUUUUGUCCAUGGAGUCGCAAAGAGUUGGACACGACUGAGUGACUGAACUGAACUGAACUGAACCCAAGGAGAAAGGUCAAGAAUCUCACGUCGGUGAAUAAGCAGGUGAAAGUGCAGAGGAGGUUUAGAUUCCGAAUAUUCAAGGCACAUUUCCCCAAAGGCCACUUGGCAAGACGCCUUCUCAUUUAGCUUCUAGUCUAAUGAAUCUCAUUAAUGAUUACCGAGUCAAGCUCCAGGAUGGCAACGCAUCUGCAGCUGCUUGCAGGCAAAGUUGUAGAGGGUGAGAGCUUGAAGGGAGAGCAGGUUCUAAAUCGAAGUCCUUCCUCACACUAAAUCGGUAAGUCACUUAUCUUGGUGUUGCUGUGAAAGACCUCAAAGGGUCCUUUCUGUGUAGCAGUUGUAUAUUUUUGACAAUUUUUAUAUGCCCCCAAGUCUCAGGUUUUCUCAUAUGGAUUUAAAAAAAGUGAGUGGAGAUAUAAAAGCCCAGUUUCCUUAAUAACAUGAACAGAAGAGAGGCAGAAGCAGGAAGCUGAAGUUUUGUGUCUGAUAACCCAGAACUUUGAGAAAAUGCCAACUGUGGAAGACCUUUCCAAUAAACAGGUGCUGUAGUGAAAUGUUUAAAGGCAGAGAUUUGGGAAUUCAAUUUGGGGGCUUGUGAACAAACAUCAGAGCUUUCAUUUACCAAUGGGAUGAGCUGGAUGAAACGGGUCAAUAAUAUCUCCAUCUGGUGUUGAUGUGAACUGCCUGGGUUAGUAGUUAACAACUGUGGUUAUCAUAAUUUCUGUUGUUGCAACAGCUGGUAGGACACACAGGAAGAGCUACAGAGUGGUUGUGAAAGAACAUUCCGGAUAAGAAAGCAUUGGCAACCGCAUCACUGUCUCUUACAUGAAAAUUCAUUCCCUCCCACUCCCAUUAAAGUUGUGCAGGAUUUUUCUCCUGGACAGAUUCACAGCAGCAACAGGGCUAUUAUUCCCAGUGUCCUAAAGGACUCCGGCCUUUUGUAAUCAAAUUCAUUGCCUUAGUUUCCCACCCAGAUCAAUUAGGGUCCAGGACUUUGACACAAGACAGAACUGGGGGUGACUCUGGUCUAAGACAGCAUCUAGAGGAAUGCUGAGUCAGAACCAGUGAGAUGGUGUGAAAUUUAACCAAACAAAAAUGUUUGGGGAUAGAUGAGGCAAUGGUAUGGUCAUCACAGCCACCAGAAAAUUGUAGGUGGGUUGAGGAUAGUUGGAAGGAGGUGAUCAGGGAGAAUCCUCAAGGCAGGGAUGUAGAAGUUACAAGUUUUGGGUGGUCCUUGUGGCCUCUCAGAUAUGUAGACACAAUGCUAUUAUUAGAACACCCCCAGCCUUUAAACCCAGGGGGCUCUGCAGGAAGGUAAACCUCAAAAUGAUUCCCUGUGAACAUGACUUCAAACCAGAAACAUCUCACUAUGCCAUAUCAUCUCAGAUUCAGGCAACCAGCAGGGUUUUCUCGACCAAUAGUGGGAAAUAAGGUAGCUGUUAAAAAAUAUGUGUGAAUGUACAUGUGGGUGUAAACACAUAUAUAAAUAGAAAACACAUAUGAUAUAUAUGUACUUUCUUUUGCAUACCCCUUGGCCUUGGAGGCUAAUGGGAGUGAAAUUAUCCUGGCAACUUCACUGCCGGGGCAUCCAGCCAGAAAACUUUCUUGAGGUCACCAAGCUCUCCUGAAAUUCAGCUGCUCCCUUGAGAGUCAGAUGCUCUCAGAACUUUCCCUUAUGUGGGCCUCUGUUUGCUCUCUGUGCUCAGCCACCUGUUUAGCUGUGUGAGUGAAUGCUCAUAACAUCUCCUGGGAGAAUUAUCUUCAUGUACAUGGUCACAUCUGCUGAGACUGGACACUCUGAUUUCCAAGACAAGGCAUGCCCUGUUGUCUGGAAUAGAGGUAGUAGAAAACUGGAAGUACUCUGACAUUCAGAAUGUUCCAGUCCAAAUAGUCCUACAGUAGGGGGAUGGUAAUGUCUCGUAACCACAGAGUUACAUUGACUGACAUCAUAGCAGAACAUGGAAGUGAGAAUAAAUAUCACACAUCGGGAAAAGCUGUUAAUAAAAACAACAUAUGCUUGUUCAUCAUUGCCAGGUUGUACAAGACAAUACGUCUGGCCACAUAUUUAUUAUUUAGUCAAGUAUCUCCCAAACAAUAUUUGCGUUUAAAAUCAGGGCAGUUAACCUACGUGUAUAAGGUCUAUUUUUUAAAAUUGAAGUAUAGUUGGUUUACAAUAUUGCUAGUUUCAGGUGUAAAAGGUCUAUUUUUAAAAAGUCCUGGCCACACCAGGGAAUUAGAAUGCCUCAUGCCAAGAUUUGAAGAGAUACCUCUCUAAAGAAGCUACACGGAUAGCAAAUGAAAACAUGGAAAGAUGCUCCACCUCAUUAUAGAAAUAAAAAUUAAACCAUGAUGAGAUAUUAAUACACAUCUUUCAAAAUGCCUAAAAUUAAAAAGACUGACCACACCAAACUGUUUAGUAUGUAGUGGAUCUGGACCUCUCUCAUACACUGUUAGUGAGGAUGUAAAAUGGUACAACCACUUUGAAAAGCAAUGUAUCAUUUUCUUAAAAAGUUAAACAUAUGUUUAUCAUAUGACCCAGCCAUUCUACUUAGAGGUAUUUAAGAAAAAUGAAAGCACAUGUCUAAACAAAGACCUGUGCUUGAAUGUUCAUGGCAGCUUUAUUUUUAAUGGCCACAAACUGCAAAUAAUGCAAUUUUUCAUCAAAAGGUGACCAGGUAAACAAAUUGUGGUAUAACCAUGCCAUGAAGUAUUGCUCAGCAAUAAAAAGGAAUGAAGUAUUAAUAUGGGCAGCAUAGAUGAAACUCAAAGUAAUUAUGCUGAGUGAAAUAAACUCCAGCAAUGAUGGCAGUAAACCAUAUAGCAACCAUGUGCUGUCUAUUGAAUCCUUAUAAAUCCUUGAUGAAGGUGCUGCAGCUGCACUGUUGUUGUUGUCCUUGUUAUUAACAACAGAUGGGAAACUGAAAUACACAAAUUUGUUCCUGGUAACACUUGGCGCAUUAGGUAAAUCACAAGCCUGGAUAUGAACCAAGGAACGCCAAGCUCCAAAUCUACCACUGUGAAAUUGGCACUUGGUGAGUACUCUAGAUCCUAAAUAAUAAACAGUUCCAAACCUUAGGUAUGCCUGUUGUAUUGAGCCAAGAAUAGGUGAUGAUCCUCUUCUACCAACCCAGAUGGAAUGGCCCAACUUUUUUUUGAUAGUAAUAUUUAAUGAAAUUCAUUACAGUAGUUUGACAGAUAAAGGAACGGAGGCAGAGGUAUCUUUAUUAAUUCAUCUGCUAUUGCAAAGUUAAGAAGUAUCAGAGGUCCUCUGAUUCUAGAGCUUGAGAUUCUUCCUGAAACAAAGCUGCUUCUGAUCACAGGUUAAACAGUGUAAAUAAAUGUUGGACAAGACUCAGCCAGAUGUGAAUUAGAGUUAGGUUACUUUGGCCCGCCCUACUUUGCCAAAGGGGUAGCUGGAUAGGAGAGUGGCUCCUGGUCAGGUGGACUACUUGACUCCAAGUGACUCCCACCAGCUUUUGUUUGCCUGUUGCCCACUUUUUAUUUUUAUUUAAUUUUUUCUGUUGCUCAUUUUUAAAGUGUUUUAAAGGAGUCUCUUUUCUCAUGCCUGAUAUAUUGGAUCACACUCCAUCACCCUGAGAGGUGAAAAACAGACAUCAGAAGAGAAGAACACAGUUACCACUAUGACAGAGUUGAGUCCCACAGCAGGGAAGAACUCUCAAGAUAUACAAGAGGAUGAGAAGCUCAACCCUAGGAAAGCUCCUGGCAUUUGUUCCACUCGCUAUGGAAUAGCCUUCAUGGUACACCUCUGCAACUUCAUAAUAAUGGCACAAAAUAUUAUCAUGAAUAUCACCAUGGUAGCCAUGGUCAACAGCACAACCCAUCAGCCCUCAUUUAAUGACUCCACUGAGGGGUUGCCUGUUGAUUCCUUUGGUGACCCAAAUAAUUCCCCAAAGAGUCUUCCUGCAGGGGCCCCUGUGUAUGAUUGGAACCCUCAAAUCCAGGGCAUCAUCUUUAGUGCUAUCAACUAUGGCAUGAUUCUGACACUGGCUCCCAGUGGGUACCUGGCUGGAAGAGUAGGAACAAAACGAGUGGUUGGUGCUGCUCUGCUUGGAUCCUCCCUUCUUGUUCUUUUCACCCCUCUGGCAGCUGACUUUGGACUAGUUUUCCUCACUGCAACUCGAAUACUUCAGGGCAUGAGCCUGGGGUUAGGAUAUGGGGGUCAGUUUGCAAUCUGGGAAAGAUGGAGUCCUCCACAUGAACGAAGUCGACUCUGUGGCGUCGCUGUAUCAGGAUUGCUGCUGGGAACCUCCAUUGCCAUCCUGCUGGGUGGCAUCAUCAGUCAAACCCUCGGGUGGCCUUUUGUCUUCUAUAUAUUUGGAGGUUUUGGCUGUGUCUGCUUUCCUCUCUGGUGUGUUUUGGUUUAUGAUGAACCCGUCGCUCAUCCAUGGAUAAACAUUACAGAGAAAGAAUAUAUCAUAUCCUCCUUGGCCCAACAGGUCAGCUCUACUAAGCAGCCUCUUCCCAUCAAAGCUAUGGUCAGAUCUCUACCCCUCUGGUCCAUGUGUGUUUGCUGUUUCAGCCAUCAGUGGUUAAUUAAUGUAAUAACUAUAUAUGCACCAACUUACAUUAGCUCUGUGUUCAACAUUGAUAUUAGAAAUAGUGGUUUCCUGUCUGCCCUUCCUUUUAUUAUUGCCUGGGUUGUUUGCCUCCUGGGAAGUUACCUGGCAGAUUUCCUUCUGACCAAGAAUUUUAGGCUUGUUACAGUGAGGAAAAUUGCCACAGUUCUAGGAAAUCUCCCCUCCUCAACAUUCCUUUUGGUUCUGCCAUUCGCUGCCUCCAACUAUAUCAUAGCAGUGAGCCUUCUGACACUCUCCUGUGGACUAGGCCUGUUAUGUCAGCCAGGGGUCUAUGUCAAUGCCUUAGAUAUUGCUCCAAGGCAUUCUAGUUUUCUCAUGGGAAUGUCAAGAGCAUUUGCACAGCUAUCUGCUGUCCUGGCACCCACUGUCAGUGGAUUUCUUCUCAGUCAGGACCCUGAAUUUGGGUGGAGGAAUGUCUUUUCCUUGUCAUUUGUCAUUAACACAUUAGGACUGAUAUUCUAUCUUAUCUUUGGAAAAGCAGAUGUCCAAGACUGGGCUAAAGAAAGAAAACUUACUCAUUUAUGAAGGUAAAGAGUAAUGAUUUCAUCUAUGGUUAAAACCACAGAAGCACUAUUUAAACUUAAUUUUUAUUUUACGUUGGAGUAUUACAUGUUUAACUCUAUGUCAUUUUUCUUUCUUAGUUACCCCACUUUGGAUGGAAAGUCAUUAGGUACUUUAUCUCAUAAAUGAGAAGGCUUCAGUGGUGGACAAACAGAAAAAAAUUUUCUUUGCUGUAGCUAUUUUCAAAUCUGAGAUCAUUUCUUUAUUUUACUCAGACUUCUUUUUGAGGAAAAUAUAAGAUGAGUAAAAAUCCAAAUAAAAUGAUAGCCAAGAAAAAAGUUGUCAUCUUCAUGGAAUUAACAGUGCAUUCAGAGAAGCUGCUGUAUGGGAGCCAGUAUGCUAGAUUCAUAGAUUUUGGAUCUCCAAACAGGAAACAAUGUUUUGAAACUCUUAAUGCAGGGCAAUAACCUCACUAAGGCAAUGGUUCCUCCUGUUUGCAAAAACGAACACCGAUUUAUAUUUGUUGGGCUCAGUAUUGUCCAUGUGUUCCUUCCUUUGCGUGCUCCACUCCCCUCCAUCCUGCUCAGGCCCCAGGAGGCUGACCUGUGUGGUUUGCACCCCACACUUUCUCUACUGGCUUCUGCUGGAUUUUCAGUGGAGGUAGGAGAGUGAGGAUAAGAGUAUUUAUCUCUACUGUUCCUCCCCGUGGAGACUGCAGCGUUAUUCAUAAUAGCCAGAAUAUGGAAACAGCCCAAUUGUCCAUCAAUGACGAAUGGAUAAAGAAGAUGUUUAUUUAAGCCAUGAAAAUAAAAGACAUUCUGCACAACAGGAAUGGAUUUUGAAGGCAUUAUGCUAAGUAAAAUAAGUCAGAUAAAGACGAAUAUUUUGAUAUCACUUAUCGGGGAAAUCUAAAAAAAGCCUAAUUCAUAGAAACAAGAUUACAAUGGUAGAGAUUAGAAUGGGAGUUACCAGUGGCUGGGGGAUAGGGGAAAAGGGGAGAUGUUGGUCAAAGAGUACAAACUUCCAGUUAUAAGAAGAGCAAAUUCUGGG